Molecule: ribosomal RNA, 465 nt
Filed under: uncultured Klebsiella sp.
Lineage: Bacteria; Pseudomonadati; Pseudomonadota; Gammaproteobacteria; Enterobacterales; Enterobacteriaceae
Description: bacterial SSU rRNA
Rfam family: Bacterial small subunit ribosomal RNA
Source: RNAcentral
CCUACGGGGCGCAGCAGUGGGGAAUAUUGCACAAUGGGCGCAAGCCUGAUGCAGCCAUGCCGCGUGUGUGAAGAAGGCCUUCGGGUUGUAAAGCACUUUCAGCGGGGAGGAAGGCGGUGAGGUUAAUAACCUCAUCGAUUGACGUUACCCGCAGAAGAAGCACCGGCUAACUCCGUGCCAGCAGCCGCGGUAAUAUGGAGGGUGCAAGCGUUAAUCGGAAUUACUGGGCGUAAAGCGCACGCAGGCGGUCUGUCAAGUCGGAUGUGAAAUCCCCGGGCUCAACCUGGGAACUGCAUUCGAAACUGGCAGGCUAGAGUCUUGUAGAGGGGGGUGGAAUUCCAGGUGUAGCGGUGAAAUGCGGAGAGAUCUGGAGGAAUACCGGUGGCGAAGGCGGCCCCCUGGACAAAGACUGACGCUCAGGUGCGAAAGCGUGGGGAGCAAACAGGAUUAGAUACCCUUGUAGUC